RNAcentral lists this ribosomal RNA (301 nucleotides) under uncultured bacterium. Its description in RNAcentral is "partial 16S ribosomal RNA". It matches the Rfam family "Bacterial small subunit ribosomal RNA", at positions 509 to 807 of the family's 1533-position model. The record is from RNAcentral.
CAGUCGCCGCGGUAAUACGAAGGAUGCAAGCGUUAAUCGGAAUUACUGGGCGUAAAGCGUGCGUAGGCGGUUUGUUAAGUCUGCUGUGAAAUCCCCGGGCUCAACCUGGGAAUGGCAGUGGAUACUGGCAAGCUAGAGUGUGUCAGAGGAUGGUGGAAUUCCCGGUGUAGCGGUGAAAUGCGUAGAGAUCGGGAGGAACAUCAGUGGCGAAGGCGGCCAUCUGGGACGACACUGACGCUGAGAGACGAAAGCUAGGGGAGCAAACAGGAUUAGAUACCCCCGUAGUCCCUGUCUCUUAUAC